Molecule: ribosomal RNA, 497 nt
Filed under: uncultured bacterium
Lineage: Bacteria
Description: partial 16S ribosomal RNA
Rfam family: Bacterial small subunit ribosomal RNA
Source: RNAcentral
UCUGCCCGCUGGCGGCGUGCCUAAUACAUGCAAGUCGAGCGAACGGACGAGAAGCUUGCUUUUCUGAUGUUAGCGGCGGACGGGUGAGUAACACGUGGAUAACCUACCUAUAAGACUGGGAUAACUUCGGGAAACCGGAGCUAAUACCGGAUAAUAUUUUGAACCGCAUGGUUCAAAAGUGAAAGACGGUCUUGCUGUCACUUAUAGAUGGAUCCGCGCUGCAUUAGCUAGUUGGUAAGGUAACGGCUUACCAAGGCAACGAUGCAUAGCCGACCUGAGAGGGUGAUAGGCCACACUGGAACUGAGACACGGUCCAGACUCCUACGGGAGGCAGCAGUAGGGAAUCUUCCGCAAUGGGCGAAAGCCUGACGGAGCAACGCCGCGUGAGUGAUGAAGGUCUUCGGAUCGUAAAACUCUGUUAUUAGGGAAGAACAUAUGUGUAAGUAACUGUGCACAUCUUGACGGUACCUAAUCAGAAAGCCACGGCUAACUACGUG